CGAAAGCCACCCUCACGCUUUGGAUUAUCUUUCUUUGGUAUUUAUUCAUUUGUCAUUUUAUUUCAAAAUUAAACACUUUAAAAUAAAAUGAUGAAGAAAACGCAGUGCUCCACAAAGGCACAAACGUCCACACGUUAUUUGCAUUACGGCAAUGACGAAAAAUUUUAGUUUGAAGGUUCAAUUAUUUUGAUGUGAUUUUAUAGUUUCGCAUAAAACUCAUGAGUUAGGUGUUCAAAAUUACAACUGGUUAAUUCUCUAAGCAAAUCAACCAAAUGAAGAUACUAUAAGUAGAUGCCAUGAAUUAUAUUUUUAUUUCAUUCUCUUCGUUAUAAAUCAUAGUAGAUGACUAGAUGUUUAAAGUUACGAUAUACAAGGCGCAGAUUAAUAACGGUUUGACUGUAUGUUCAUGCAUCUGUAAAUUAUUGGUGCCAUUUUGUUGUCAACUACAAUAACUGAAGAAAAAGAAACUAAAUCCCUCUAAAAAAAAAAAAAAAAUCCCUCUAGUAGAUAUAGACUCAGAGGCUCAGAAUAGUAAGCUAACGACAUCUUGUUGAAACAAACGAUCUUAUUUAGGUUACUAAUUAGGAAGCAAAAGAUUGUUACAAGUUUGAAGUUCGAACUCUGACAUAGCCCAUGGGUCCAAACCUUAGGCACCCAAUUCCAUGUUGAUGGUGAUUUGGGCCGGGUUGAUUAGUAUAUUUUUGUACUUACAUUUAAACUUGUAGUACGCUACACCUAAGUUUCAUAUAUACAAUUUUCAUUUAUGUGCAGACCCAAACAUUUUUUAGGUUGAAUAGUUUUCUUUGCAAGUGUUUUCAAGUGUUUAACCAUAUAUAGAGUCCUGAGGAAAAACUGUCUGCAACAGUACAAACAAACAUAUAUCUAAACUACAAUAAAAUUAUUUACAAAUCCAAAAUGAUGGUAAAGAAACAACAUAGAUCACUGAUGAAAAAAG
RNAcentral lists this long non-coding RNA (955 nucleotides) under Brassica rapa (field mustard). RNAcentral's name for it is "long non-coding RNA (BRAP_LNC002026)". Lineage: Eukaryota; Viridiplantae; Streptophyta; Magnoliopsida; Brassicales; Brassicaceae. The record is from RNAcentral.